ACAAUGGAGAGUUUGAUCCUGGCUCAGGAUGAACGCUAGCUACAGGCUUAACACAUGCAAGUCGAGGGGAAACGGCAUUGAGUGCUUGCACUCUUUGGACGUCGACCGGCGCACGGGUGAGUAACGCGUAUCCAACCUUCCCAUUACUGUGGGAUAACCUGCCGAAAGGCAGACUAAUACCGCAUAGUCUUCGAUGACGGCAUCAGAUUUGAAGUAAAGAUUUAUCGGUAAUGGAUGGGGAUGCGUCUGAUUAGCUUGUUGGCGGGGUAACGGCCCACCAAGGCAACGAUCAGUAGGGGUUCUGAGAGGAAGGUCCCCCACAUUGGAACUGAGACACGGUCCAAACUCCUACGGGAGGCAGCAGUGAGGAAUAUUGGUCAAUGGACGGAAGUCUGAACCAGCCAAGUAGCGUGCAGGAUGACGGCCCUAUGGGUUGUAAACUGCUUUUGUAUGGGGAUAAAGUUAGGGACGUGUCCCUAUUUGCAGGUACCAUACGAAUAAGGACCGGCUAAUUCCGUGCCAGCAGCCGCGGUAAUACGGAAGGUCCAGGCGUUAUCCGGAUUUAUUGGGUUUAAAGCUGUCUCUUAUACACAUCUCCGAGCC
RNAcentral lists this ribosomal RNA (603 nucleotides) under Prevotella melaninogenica. RNAcentral describes it as "bacterial SSU rRNA". It matches the Rfam family "Bacterial small subunit ribosomal RNA", at positions 1 to 589 of the family's 1533-position model. The record is from RNAcentral. Lineage: Bacteria; Pseudomonadati; Bacteroidota; Bacteroidia; Bacteroidales; Prevotellaceae.